This 467-nucleotide ribosomal RNA is filed under the name uncultured bacterium. RNAcentral's name for it is "bacterial SSU rRNA". It matches the Rfam family "Bacterial small subunit ribosomal RNA", at positions 329 to 795 of the family's 1533-position model. The record is from RNAcentral.
UGCCAGACUCCUACGGGAGGCAGCAGUGAGGAAUAUUGGUCAAUGGGCGAGAGCCUGAACCAGCCAAGUCGCGUGAGGGAGUACUGCCCUAUGGGUUGUAAACCUCUUUUGUCGGGGAGCAAAAGCCGGACGUGUCCGGCUGUGAGAGUACCCGAAGAAAAAGCAUCGGCUAACUCCGUGCCAGCAGCCGCGGUAAUACGGAGGAUGCGAGCGUUAUCCGGAUUUAUUGGGUUUAAAGGGUGCGCAGGCGGAUUUUUAAGUCAGCGGUCAAAUCGUGGGGCUCAACCCCAUCCAGCCGUUGAAACUGGCGAACUCGAGAGGGAGAGAAGUAGGCGGAAUGCGCAGUGUAGCGGUGAAAUGCAUAGAUAUUGCGCAGAACUCCGAUUGCGAAGGCAGCCUACCGGCUCCUGUCUGACGCUGAGGCACGAAAGCGUGGGUAUCGAACAGGAUUAGAUACCCUGGUAACA